This 145-nucleotide unclassified non-coding RNA is filed under the name uncultured Ascomycota. RNAcentral describes it as "sequence contains ITS2". Lineage: Eukaryota; Fungi; Ascomycota. The record is from RNAcentral.
CAACCCUCAAGCGACGCUUGGUAUUGAGCCCGUGUCAGCGAUGGCAGGCUCCAAAGACAGUGGCGGCGCCGCUGGGUCCUGAACGUAGUAAUCAUACCUCUCGUUACAGGUGCCCCGCGUGCUUCUGCCGAAACAUCAUUUCUAA